GACAGAGGGUGCAAACGUUGUUCGGAAUUACUGGGCGUAAAGCGAGUGUAGGCGGUCUAAAAAGUCGGGUGUGAAAGCCCCGGGCUCAACCCGGGAAGUGCACUCGAAACUGCUAGGCUAGAGUAUCGGAGAGGUUGGUGGAAUUCUCGGUGUAGAGGUGAAAUUCGUAGAUAUUCGGAAGAACACCAGUGGCGAAGGCGACUAACUGGACAUGUAUUGACGCUGAGGUGCGAAAGCGUGGGGAGCAAACAGG
Molecule: ribosomal RNA, 253 nt
Filed under: uncultured bacterium
Lineage: Bacteria
Description: partial 16S ribosomal RNA
Rfam family: Bacterial small subunit ribosomal RNA
Source: RNAcentral